Molecule: ribosomal RNA, 484 nt
Filed under: uncultured bacterium
Lineage: Bacteria
Description: partial 16S ribosomal RNA
Rfam family: Bacterial small subunit ribosomal RNA
Source: RNAcentral
AUUGAACGCUGGCGGCAGGCCUAACACAUGCCAGUCGAGCGGAUGAAGGGAGCUUGCUCCUGGAUUCAGCGGCGGACGGGUGAGUAAUGCCUAGGAAUCUGCCUGGUAGUGGGGGAUAACGUCCGGAAACGGGCGCUAAUACCGCAUACGUCCUGAGGGAGAAAGUGGGGGAUCUUCGGACCUCACGCUAUCAGAUGAGCCUAGGUCGGAUUAGCUAGUUGGUGGGGUAAAGGCCUACCAAGGCGACGAUCCGUAACUGGUCUGAGAGGAUGAUUAGUCACACUGGAACUGAGACACGGUCCAGACUCCUACGGGAGGCAGCAGUGGGGAAUAUUGGACAAUGGGCGAAAGCCUGAUCCAGCCAUGCCGCGUGUGUGAAGAAGGUCUUCGGAUUGUAAAGCACUUUAAGUUGGGAGGAAGGGCAGUAAGUUAAUACCUUGCUGUUUUGACGUUACCAACAGAAUAAGCACCGGCUAACUUCGUG